Molecule: ribosomal RNA, 373 nt
Filed under: uncultured bacterium
Lineage: Bacteria
Description: bacterial SSU rRNA
Rfam family: Bacterial small subunit ribosomal RNA
Source: RNAcentral
GUAGGGGGCAAGCGUUGUCCGGAUUUAUUGGGCGUAAAGCGCUCGCAGGUGGUUCGUCGCGUCGUGCGUGAAAGACCCUGGCUCAACUGGGGGGUGUCGUGCGAUACGGGCGAACUGGAGGCCAGUAGGGGGAUGCGGAAUUCCGGGUGUAGUGGUGGAAUGCGUAGAGAUCCGGAGGAACACCAGCGGCGAAGGCGGCAUCCUGGACUGGUCCUGACACUCAGGAGCGAAAGCGUGGGGAGCGAUCCGGAUUAGAUACCCGGGUAGUCCACGCUGUAAACGAUGCGCACUAGGUGUCGGGGGUAUCGACCCCCUCGGUGCCGCAGCUAACGCGGUAAGUGCGCCGCCUGGGGAGUACGGCCGCAAGGCUAAA